AAAAAGAUAAAUAUAUAUUUCUUAAACCCUGUUGAAGAUUAAUGUUACAGGUUACACUCUGAUAUGUUAUGUUAUUUUCAGGUCACACAAAAGAACCAGGAGCACCGUUGAGAGGGCCAUCAGUCAACUCAAACGCAGAUUUCCUGUUCUCCAUGGGGAAAUCAGGUUAAAACCUGAGAAGGCUUGUAAGGUGAUAAUAGCAUGUGCUGUCCUACACAAUAUUUGCAAGGACAGAAAUAUCCCAGUUCCACCCACUGAUGGGCAUGAUGGACUUGGCAGGCUUGAUGGGAAGAAUGGAGCUCAAGCAGUGACUGCUCCACCAGUAGCUGCACUCAGAUACCGGGAGCACUUUGCCAAUACCAACUUUCCAUAGUUUCCACGGUUGGUGAAGUGAGGGACCCUGUGACAUCUGGCUCCUUGGAAUACAUGUUGGCUCCUUCUGG
Molecule: long non-coding RNA, 443 nt
Organism: Haliotis rufescens (red abalone)
Lineage: Eukaryota; Metazoa; Mollusca; Gastropoda; Lepetellida; Haliotidae
Exons: 3
Source: RefSeq, a predicted model, not a curated record